RNAcentral lists this ribosomal RNA (253 nucleotides) under uncultured bacterium. RNAcentral's name for it is "partial 16S ribosomal RNA". It matches the Rfam family "Bacterial small subunit ribosomal RNA", at positions 524 to 776 of the family's 1533-position model. The record is from RNAcentral.
GACAGAGGGUGCAAACGUUGUUCGGAAUUACUGGGCGUAAAGCGAGUGUAGGCGGUCUGCUAAGUCGGGUGUGAAAGCCCUGGGCUCAACCCAGGAAGUGCACUCGAAACUGGCAUGCUAGAGGACUGGAGAGGAGACUGGAAUGGUCGGUGUAGCGGUGAAAUGCGUAGAGAUCGACCAGAACACCGGUGGCGAAGGCGGGUCUCUGGACAGUUCCUGACGCUCAGGCACGAAAGCCAGGGGAGCAAACGGG